Pongo pygmaeus (Bornean orangutan) is the source of this 6672-nucleotide RNA transcript. RefSeq lists it as uncharacterized. The record is from RefSeq and is a predicted model, not a curated record. Lineage: Eukaryota; Metazoa; Chordata; Mammalia; Primates; Hominidae. The transcript has 4 exons.
UAUUACAAUAUUAAAUUUGUUUUGUAUAUGUUACAAAUAUUUCUAAUUUGUUUCUUACGUUUUAAAUUGGUUUAUAGAAACUCCCGCAUCCAGAAGUUGUAAAUUGUAAUGUGGUCAAAUCUGUCAUCAUUUCGCUGGUAGGGGAGAAAAUAUUUUCCUCUCCCAUCUUAAGGGUUAUGGCUGACACCUCUAUAACAAGGUUAAUGAGAGAAAGGCAUAACAGAUUUAAAGUCUUAUGUGACACAAGAACCUUAAGAAACGAAGACCCCAUGACCUAAAGAAAACUGUAUUUUUAUGCUAAGUCUGAUGAAAGAAGUAGAUAGUUGUGCAGAAACAUGAUUGGACAAAAGGGGCAUCGUCUAAUGGUCAUACAUAGGGGUGGGAGGAGACUUCGGCACGGCCCGUUUGUUCAGAUUCUUUCUUGCGUCUCUGCAUGACACUUCUCCCCCCCAGGUAUGGUGCAAGACUCCUCUAGAAUGAGGGUCUUACGACCUACUUCACAUGAGGUAGGCCAGUGAAUUCCUUUAUGACCCUGCUUUAUGGGAGAAAGGUGGGAGCAGAUUACAGAGAACUUGCUUCUGUGGUUUUCUCAACUGCCAAGGUGCCAUAUUUUGGCCCCUUUAUGGAUUUUGCUUGUGACUUAUCCUGUCCUUGUUAUUGAUUUUAAUAAUACUUCCUGGCAGGGUGUGGUGAUUCAAUUUGCUAAUACUUUAUUUGAACCCUGCAUCUAUUCUUAAAUGAAAUGGGCUUUUGCCUUUUCUUCAGUUGUUCUUGAUCAGAUAUAUAUAUUUUCUUAAAAUAUUUGGGCUAAUCUCAUAAAGUAAGCUAGGUAACAAGAGUUUGGUGAGGUACCAAAUCUAAAACAGGUAGGCAGAUUGUUUUUUCUAUUCUCAUUCUUUCCCAAUUUGGGUCUUUCUGAAGCUAGGAUAGGGCCAGGGCUCCUUACUCAAGAUCACCCUUCCCUAUCCCCCAAACACACACAAUAUCCCCAAAGUGUCAUUGUUCAAGUUCCAACGUGGGGCUAAUUCCUAGGAGCUUGAUCCUCCUACUGGGGCUACUGGUGUUAAUGGCCAUGAGGCCUUGUGAGAGCACAUGUUCAUGACAGUCCAACUCAAAGAAACUAGGAGAGAGUAUUAAGAGAUGGAGAAUUAAACCUUAACUACCGAGCCUUAACUUCUUUAAAUGAAAAAUGAAACUUAUUACCAUCUAAGUCACACGUGUGUUUUGAGAUGUCCAUGAUAAAUUUUGAAAAAGCACCUAGUACGCUGGGUGGCACAAACACGCAGCGGGGCGAGGGCCCCUACGGCAGCGACAGCCUUAAUGGAGUGACCCUCAGCUGUCGUCUCAGUGCCUCCUUCACGGCUGGAAACGGCGAGAACGCUAACACAGCCCUCACUGGGCGAGACGCGGCUUGAACGGUUUAACGGCCCAGAGCGCUGGGAACCCAUCCCGGCACACGCGCCCUUACGGACUGGUCGCUUUAACGACUGCUUUUCACUUUCCGACUGCCCCUCCGCCAGAGGAGAGUCGGACCGCAAGACCGUCACCAACUCCUCGAACUCUGGGGCACCUCAGCCUUCUCCCGCGCCAACGUGGCGCGAAGACCUGGGACACCGCGGGCACCUGGACCAGCGAACCCAAAGCACUGCCUCCGGCGCUAGACCGCAGCAAAAUGUCCGCUCCACGCGCAGGCGCAGCACGUGCUGCCCUCUCCACCCCGGCUCAAGACUCACGCCCCCAGGCUCCCGCAGUGCCCGCCCCUCCCAGGGUCGCGGCUCAGGAUUGGUUCAGGGGUUGCGCGGGCUCUGAUUGGGCGAGGCGGAGUCACCAGGGCGCCUUAUCUUUACGUGGCCGUCUUCCCCGCGCGCUUUGGAUCUGGGGCAAUAGCUGAGAGGGCGUCACCAGCGUGUGGGCGCCCGCGGUUUUCUUCGGGCUGUCCCUAGGCGUCGUGCCCGCGUCCGUCACGCGCGGUGGCUUCCAGGGGCGCACCGCGACAGCCUUAAAGGAAAACCUGUUAGGGACAAGGGCUGCUGUGGGCAGCGAGGGUUAUAGACUCGUGUGUUCUGAAUUCUGGUGGGGGUAGUGAUGUACGCUGCCCCAGUUCACAGAAUUAUCUGACUGGGGAAGUAAAGGAAAAAAAAUCAAGGUGAACUGAAGAAAAUAAGUCUUUCCCCAAAGGAGGUAGAAGAUGGGGAAGAUGAGAUGUCAGAAGCUAAGGACAAUGGCAGUAGAGAUGAGGUUCUUGUCCCUCAUAAGAAUUGCAGGAAGAAUACAACUGUCCCAGGAAGGAAAGGGGAGGAAAAGUCUCUGGCUCCUGUGUUUGCUGAGAAGUUGAUAUCACCAAGCAGGAGGGGAGCCAAGCUCAAGGACUGUGAGAGCCACCAGGAGAAUGAAGACAGGAACAGUGAGUUGGACCAGGAUGAGGAAGAUAAAGAAUCCUUCUUCAGGGGGUUCCUGAUCAAAAUGCCAAAACACUUUUGAUCAAGAACCUGCCUGACAAAGUCAGUCCACAUGAAUUAAAAGAAGUGUUUGAGGAUGCUUUUCAAAUCAGAUUAGUGAGCAAAGAUGGGAUGAGUAAAAGGUGUAUUUUGCACCUUGUACUGAAUAAGAAUGUAUGUCUACUGGAUACAAACAUAAUGGAAUUUCCAUACAUUCUCUCAAGUCUUUUAUGCCUGAUUUUAGAGAAGGAAAGAGUAGUUAUCCAGAUUUCUGCCAGUAGGCAUAAAAAGCCGAAGGGGACAUCAUAAAGGGACAGCCAAAACUCCUGGAAAACUGUAGUGGUGCUAUAGAGAAAUAGAGACUUCAUCUGCUACCAAGUACAAGAUUGAAGAUUGGAAUUUAUUCAUAGAUUAUGUACAUUCCUUCUUCUCUCUCCAGGGCUGACUCCACUAGAAUAAUGUACUUAGUAACUUGCUUGGACAGUUACCAAAAUAGCACAUAGAAUUGAAUUGUUAGGUUUAUGUUGUAACCAAUUAAUGAAACACUGUCCUUAGGUAUCUAGGCUUUGGUAGAGUAAGGGAGUGAAUAUGGUGAAAUUAGAGAGGGUGGAGUAUAAUAUAUUUUGAAGGGAUUGUCAUUGAGGUGAAAAUUGAGUAUUGGGUUUACAGAUAUAUUUGAGCUAAAUGUGUUGGUGUAGGUGAACUCUAAAAUAAUCUGUAGCAGUAUGUUCUGAUGAAUGUAAUCUCUAGAAAGAAUACUACAGAUCUAACAAGCAUAAGAUAGAACUGUAUGUAUUGACCUGGAAAUCCAUGAUAAGUAUGGGAAAACAAAUCUGAAAGAAUAAAUUCCAAAUUGUUAGCAGUGUUUACUAGCAGGAGAUUUGGGAGCACUCUGCCUAUAGUCUCCAGAAAACCAGCAAACAAAUUCCUGCCAAAAGCUAUAUAAUUUCUCAAAGUUUAAUUAGGUUUUAAUUAAAUAUACUUAAAUCUUUGUAAUCAUUUCUCUACCUGAAGAAUUACUGUGUCACUUCUCAGCCUUUUGGCUAAGAUCAAGUGUAAUAUCUGUUUUUUCAGUUUAAUAUCUGAUAUGUCCUAAAUUAAAAAUAAUAAAAAAUAAAUAAAGGGGAGAUAAGAGAAACCAGAGAAUCCAUGGCCAUGUGAAAUAAAGCAUAGUACCUAUGCUAGAAAAGAGUGUGGUGCAGGCUGGGCAUGGUGGCUUAUGCCUGUAAUCCCAGCACUUUGGGAAGCCAAAGCCGGCGGAUCAUGAGGUCAGGAGAUUGAGACCACCCUGGCCAACAUGGUGAAACCCCAUCUCUACUAAAAUACAAAAAAUUAGCCGGGCGUGGUGGCGCGCUCCUGUAGUCCCAGCUACUCGGGAGGCUGAGGUAGGGGAAUUGCUUGAACCCGGGAGGCAGAGGUUGCAGUGAGCCAAGAUUGGGCCACUGCACUCCAGUCUGGUGACAGAGUGAGACUCCGUCUCAAAAACAAAACAAAACAAAAACAACAACAGAAUGUGGGGCAUUAUGUUUAAGAAUCUGACUCAGACCAGGCACGGUAGCUCAUGCCUAGAAUCCCACCACUUUGGGAGGCCGAGGCGGGGGGAUCACCUGAGCUCAGAAGUUUGAGACCAGCCUGGCCAACAUGGUAAAACUCCGUCUGUAUUAAAAAUACAGAAGAUUAGCCAGUUGUGGUGGUACAUACCUGUAAUCCCAGCUACUCAGGAGGCUGAGACAGGAGAAUCAUUUCAAGCCGGGAGGUAGAGGUUGCAGUAAGCAGAGAUCGUGCCACUUCACUCCAGCCUGGGCAACGAGCAAAACUCUGUCUCAAGAAGAAAGAAUCUGACUUGAUAUGUCCUUAUUCAUACCUUUCACCAAAUUAAAUUACAGGUUCAUUAGAGAUUUCAUGUAAAAUAUGAAACCAUAAAGUAUUAGAGGAAGACAUAGAGAAUAUUUUUGGGUUUUAUUUGUUUUAAUAAUCUUCAGGAGAGGAAGGCCUUUUUAAGUAUGACACAAUCCUGGAAGUCCCAAAAGAAAAGAUAUAUAAAUUUGGCCAGGCACAGUGACUCACACCUGUAAUUCCAGCACUUUGGGAGGCCGAGGCAGGUGUAUCACCUGAGGUUAGGAGUUCCAGACCAGCCUGGCCAACAUGGUGAAACCCUGUCUCUACUAAAAAUACAAAAAAAUUAGCUGAGCAUGAUGGUGGGCGCCUGUAAUCCCAGCUACUCGGGAGGCUGAGGCAGGAGAAUCGCUUGAACCUAGGAGGUGGAGGUUGCAGUGUGCUGAGAUCAUGCCACUGCACAACAGCUUGGGUGACAACAGCGAGGGAAACUCUGUCUCAAAAAAAAAAAAAAGAUAUAUAAAUUUGACUGCAGAAAUAUAUUUUUACACGGAGGAAAAAAAAUCCCCAUAAGCAAAGUCAAAAGACAAGUGACAAACCAGGGAAAAAUAUUGGUAACUCAUCAAAACUGAAGACUGGUUUUACUGAUAUAAAAGUGCACCAGAGGCCAGGUGCAGUGGCUCACGCCUGUAAUCCCAGCGCUUUGGGAGACUGAGGCAGGCGGAUCACCUGAAGUCAGGAGUUUGAGACCAUCCUGGCUAACAUGGUGAAACCCCAUCUCUACUAAAAAUACAAAAAAUUAGCCAGGCAUGGUGAUAUGCGCCUGUAAUCCCAGCUACUCAGGAGGCUGAGGCAGAAGAAUCGAUUCGCUUGAUCCCGGGAGGCAGAAGUUGCAGUGAGCCAAGAUCACGCCACUGCACUCCAGCCUGGGCGACAGAGCAAGACUCCCUCUCAAAAAAAAGUGCACCAGGCCAGGCAUAGUGGCUCACACCUGUAAUCCCAGCACUUUGGGAGGCUGAGGCAGGUGGAUCACCUGAGGUCAGGAGUUCGAGACCAGCCUGGCCAACAUGGUAAAACCCUGUCUCUACUAAAAAUACAAAAAAUUAGCCAGGCAUGGUGGCAGGCACCUGUAGUCCCAGCUACUCGGGAGGCUGAGGCACAAGAAUCACUUGAACCUGGGAGGCGGAGGUUAGUGAGCCGAGAUUGCACCAUUGCACUCCAGCCUGAGCAACAAGAGUGAAACUCCAUCUUAAAAAAUAAUAAUAAAUAAAUAAAAAUAAAGCAUGUCCCCGUGAUGAAACCUUCUGAAGGCCAGGUGUGGUGGCUCAUGCCUGUAAUCCCAGCACUUUGGGAGGCCAAGGUGGGCAGAUCACCUAAGGUCAGGAGUUCCAGACCAGCCUGGCCAGCAUGGUGAAACCCUGUCUCUACUAAAAAUAGAAAAAAUUAGCCGGGCGUGGUGGCAGGCACCUGUAAUCCCAGCUACUCGGGAAGCUGAGGCAGGAGAAUCGCUUGAACCUGGGAGACGGAGGUUGCAGUGAGCCGAGAUCGCGCCAUUGCACUCCAGCCUGGGCGACAGAGCAAGACUCCAUCUCAAAAAUAAAUAAAUAAAAAAAAUAAAAUAAAAUAAAAGUGCACCUAACAAAUGAGUAAGAAAAAUACCAACAAUUUAGGGGAAAUACAGGCAGGCUACAGACAGACAGGAACGGAGUUUUAAGCAUAGGAAAAGAUACUCAUCCUCACUCAUAGUAAAACAAUUGUAAAUAAAAUCUACACUGAGAUACAACUUUUUACCUAUCAAGUAGUCACAGAUCGAAAGGUUUGUUAGCACAGUGGAGAAGAGGGUAAAGAAACUGGCAUGCUCAUACUUUGUUAUUGGAAGUGAAAUUGGAGAAAUCUCUGUGGAGAUUAGGUACUUAGCCGUAGCUACCAAAGUUACAGUUGCAAUUACCAUUUUAUCUUGCAGUUCCACUGCUAAGAAUUUAUCCUACAGAUAGUCUCAGACAAGUGUGAAAUAAUGUAUUGCAAAGUUGUUUGAUGCAAAAUUAGAAUUAACCUGAAUAUCAAGCAACAGGUGGUUAAAAUUGUCUGGCAGAUCCAUAAGAUAUUUUUCUAUAUAGCUGUAAAAAGGAAUGAAAUCGCAUUUUGUGUACUGAUGGGAAAUAAUCUCCAGUAUACAUUAUUAAGUGAAAAAAGACAAAGUGUAUAUAAGUGAAAAAAGACAGUGUGUACAGUACUCUGCCUUUCAUGUAAAAACAUAAUGGAGAACACACUGUACACAAAAAAUAACUCAACAUGGAUCAAAGACCUAAAUGUAAGAGCUAAAACAUAAAAUCCUUAGAAGAAAGCACACUUUGUGUAUGAGUGAUUAAAGAAAAUUGAGAAGUUGGGCUUAAUCAAA